Long non-coding RNA from Centruroides sculpturatus (bark scorpion), 1237 nucleotides. RefSeq lists it as uncharacterized. The transcript is spliced from 3 exons. Lineage: Eukaryota; Metazoa; Arthropoda; Arachnida; Scorpiones; Buthidae. The record is from RefSeq and is a predicted model, not a curated record.
AAUCGGUAGGGUUAUUUCUCGUAGUAGAUUUAGAGUGUGUAGCACGUAGAAUAAACAUGUCCCAACAAGAAAUUUUAAUUAUCCAUCUCAGUAGGUAGCAGCGAGUGGCUCGACCUAUCACAAGGAAAGUUAAUUUUCCGGGCAUGGCAGGAGAACAACCAAUGUUGCGUGAGGCUAGGCGCUGACGUCAUCUUUGCGGGCCUCAUGCCAUGCGUUGCCUCGACGUGGAUUUGAAACGACGCUCGUCAAUCCCGCUGCGAGCAAGUAAUUUAGUCUUGGCCACCUUAAAGGCCGCAGACUGGUUUUUCUAUCCUGACGAAUUUUACAACAAUCCCGCCCGGUCAUUACCCCAGGAUCGACCGUCCCCCUUCCUAAUUACCGGUUUCUGACGUCUUUAUUCGUUUAUUGCACGUGGCUUUGGCUGUAUAAAAUCUCAUCAAGCAAGCGCCCAGGACUAAUCAUUCGUCCGAAUGGCAGACACACUCCAGGGAACGAAGGGAAGCAACAGGAAGUAAUAAUACUCCUAGAGAAUGGAUUCGGGAAGGAGAAAAAAAGGCAAGAGUGCAGAUAAUCCCCGUGCUAGCCGGUAGCCUAGACCGAUCGGAUUUUUUUUAAAUAGGCUGGAUUAACGUCACGGCAUUCUGUCAAACCUGAGGGAUUAACCACCCGAUCCAGCGAUUAGCGACUACUUUACGCGAUGUCUAAAACGUCCAAAACACGGAUUUCGACUUGUAGAUUAGACUGUUUGGAGCCACCGGACGAAAUUACUUCCUCCAGGUUUCCGCGAUCCGGCUCACUUAUCCCAUUUUUCUCAAUCCGUUUGUUAUUUGGAUGCACACGUUACGCCCAAGUCGUUGCAACUUGAAAGAAAAAGUAUCCCUGGUAACAAGGCAAUUCGCUUUAAAUCACAACGUAAUGUAGUUUAGUAAAUCUACUUAUUACAGUUUAAAACUAAAUCUUCUGCUAAGUCUGGUAUUGUCAAAAAUCUUCUCUGGCGCAUUUGAAAUCCCGAGAAUAACAUUGAUAUGGUGGUGUAUGUCGUCGUUAUGAAAUAAUAAAACUUUUUAUAAUGAUGUAUCAGUAUGUACUGUACUUCUUUUUUAAAUUUUAUUUUCUCAUAAAAAUCUGAACUUGCAUGAAUUUUUAUAUAUCUUAUUCUUGAGAAUACAAUCGAGAAGGGUUUUAAAAAAAUAUGGAAGACCAGUGGCGUAACUAAGAUUUUUCUGUGAAGUACCAG